This 253-nucleotide ribosomal RNA is filed under the name uncultured bacterium. Its description in RNAcentral is "partial 16S ribosomal RNA". It matches the Rfam family "Bacterial small subunit ribosomal RNA", at positions 524 to 776 of the family's 1533-position model. The record is from RNAcentral.
UACGUAGGUGGCAAGCGUUGUCCGGAUUUAUUGGGUUUAAAGGGUGCGUAGGCGGCCCUGUAAGUCAGUGCUGAAAUAUCCCGGCUUAACCGGGAGGGUGGCAUUGGUACUGCAGGGCUUGAGUACAGAUGAAGUAGGCGGAAUUGACGGUGUAGCGGUGAAAUGCAUAGAUAUCGUCAAGAACACCGAUAGCGAAGGCAGCUUACUAAGCUGUAACUGACGCUGAGGCACGAAAGUGUGGGGAUCAAACAGG